Molecule: long non-coding RNA, 484 nt
Filed under: Olea europaea subsp. europaea
Lineage: Eukaryota; Viridiplantae; Streptophyta; Magnoliopsida; Lamiales; Oleaceae
Source: RNAcentral
CCCAAUCAAAAUUAUAAUUGUUUGUUUUUCUCUCUCUUUUUCUGGUGUUAUAACAGAUAUUGAAAAGAGAUAAGUCACAGCGACUGCUGUAAUUGCAAUCCAAGUGAUCACCAUCAAAAUCCACAUAAAUAUUCUCCUCCUUAGAGGUAAACCACUCAUCAACAAUAAUAUGAUACUGGGUGAUGCAAUGAGUCCUGCUGUAUUAGCAAUCAAGAACUGUCUAUAAUCCUCUGGAUGAUUAUGAGCGAAAAUGGAUUCUCCGACCUUGUGAGAAUUGGAUACUGAUAUAGUAUGACCUUGUGAGUCAACCUUAUAAUUAUCCUGCCUUACUCCACAUGGAGGGUUGAUUCCAACUUGAAAUGCCAUGGUUGCAAUUAAAGAAGCCACUACGAUUAAUGCACUUCAUUUUUUCUCCAACCAAUCAUCUUUCUGUUUAAACAUCUUUUCUCUACUGUUCUUUUUCACAUUUGUGGACAAAUCUCAG